Molecule: small nuclear RNA, 66 nt
Filed under: Nannospalax galili (Upper Galilee mountains blind mole rat)
Lineage: Eukaryota; Metazoa; Chordata; Mammalia; Rodentia; Spalacidae
Source: RNAcentral
CUACUUCGGCAGCACAUAUACUAAAAUUGGAACGAUACAGAGAAGAUUAGCAUAGUCCCUGCGCAA